This 414-nucleotide ribosomal RNA is filed under the name Klebsiella pneumoniae. RNAcentral's name for it is "bacterial SSU rRNA". It matches the Rfam family "Bacterial small subunit ribosomal RNA", at positions 1130 to 1533 of the family's 1533-position model. Lineage: Bacteria; Pseudomonadati; Pseudomonadota; Gammaproteobacteria; Enterobacterales; Enterobacteriaceae. The record is from RNAcentral. RNAcentral also lists the same sequence under 3 other names.
GCCGGGAACUCAAAGGAGACUGCCAGUGAUAAACUGGAGGAAGGUGGGGAUGACGUCAAGUCAUCAUGGCCCUUACGACCAGGGCUACACACGUGCUACAAUGGCAUAUACAAAGAGAAGCGACCUCGCGAGAGCAAGCGGACCUCAUAAAGUAUGUCGUAGUCCGGAUUGGAGUCUGCAACUCGACUCCAUGAAGUCGGAAUCGCUAGUAAUCGUAGAUCAGAAUGCUACGGUGAAUACGUUCCCGGGCCUUGUACACACCGCCCGUCACACCAUGGGAGUGGGUUGCAAAAGAAGUAGGUAGCUUAACCUUCGGGAGGGCGCUUACCACUUUGUGAUUCAUGACUGGGGUGAAGUCGUAACAAGGUAACCGUAGGGGAACCUGCGGUUGGAUCACCUCCUUACCUUAAAGAA